AGACAGUCUUGAAGGGAGACAUCCCCAACCUUGCUAAAAUGUAAGUACAGAAAAAAUUUUUUUAAAAAGGCACAAACUGGAUGGAUAUUGAUGAUGUUGUGUCUAUUGCAACAUCAUCCAUAGACUCCUAGUGUCUUUGCUUUGCUUCCCUAGAGUGAUCACAACAUAAAUUACUUGUCUUGUUUGAAUUCCUUGUUCACCAAAGUUGAGCAGAUUGUGGCCGUUUUCAACGCUUCUACCAGACAAAAAGCUUGGGACCAUUUCUCGAAAGCCCAGCGCAAGAACAUAGACAUUUGGCGAAAGCACUCUGAGGUUGGUGAUUUUACUGUUCCUUUCUAACCACCGUCACACAAGCUGGAUUGGCAGAGAAUAGCGUGGCUGUAGCCGUUAAUGGUGUUGUCACAGUGGCCGGUCCUUCCACCGUCGUCCCGUGUCAUUGUCCCCUCCACAUCCAGCUCCACUUCAUUUCUUGUCCAGAGAUGCAGCUGGCUUCACACUUAGAACAUCCUCUUCCUUCCUCUCCAAAGGAGGAAAGAAUCUUUCUCACUCAUAGUAAAGAGUUCGCUCAAAAAACAAACCAAGAUGCUCUGUCUACAAUGAGACUGAAAAAAAAAAUGCCAAUUUACAAAACUAACCGCUGAGUACCGAGUUUUUCUUCCAUAAUUUUUGUGGUGAUGACAAUUGUCUCUUUGGGCUUGAAAUGGCAAGUGUGCCGUCCUUUCCAUUUCUUCUUGUCACUAGCCACACCUACUCCACUGGGCUAGCCAAGAGGUCCUGUCACAUGUCUCCCCAGAGCAAAUCUCAUGGUGGGGACAAAUGUCCAUGCUAGCUGAUUUCACAGCCUCAAUGCAUGUAUGAGUAUCUACCACCAAGGACAGAGGCCACAACUUCACUUUGCUUGCCACCUCGACAGACCACACCGUGUCAUUAGCCAUUGGUCAUCCAGCUGUUAUUUUUUGACUCCACCUGUAGUGUUCGCUUUGAACCUGUAAUGUAAAAGUAAGUAUCCUGUCUUCCUUUGCUUCUUCUCUUCUUUAUUUUUUUUUAAGAUAAGAAUGUUGCUCACGUGGAUGCUUCUCCAAUUCUAGCAUGUUAAAAUUUAAAGUUCUUUAAAAGACACCCCCUCUUUCAAAAAUCACAAAGUUAUAGAAGGUAAGGUUUAUUUAUGUAAUGGUUUUGGCUGACACUUAUAAAUUUAGUGUUUUUAUGAAGAGUUUGAGGAACCACAAAGUCCUAGGACAUCAGUCAUCUGGGUAGCAUUUUAAGUGACCAUUAACUAGUGCUAAAUUGCUAUUGAAUGCCGAUGGUACUACAUGUAAUAUCCACAUGAAUACUAAAUAGAUUCUUUAUUGCCACUGUCAUGAUGGCCAAUGCUGAGUGAUGGGGUCCUGAAAACACUAAUGCGGUUGUUGCUAAGGGCAUUUUUUAAAGUUGUGCUCGCCAGUGCCAAGGAAGGUGUCUGGCGACAUAUACAGCUCUUCUUCCACUUUUGAGGUCUGUAAGGAGGAGGUAGGAUUUCUCUUCAGUUUCUCAAGGGCUCCAUAACAAAGCUGAUGUUCUCCCUGACCCUGAAAUAAGAUCCAAGCCGAAGUUGAUUGUCAAGAGUGGGGACUAAGGAGAGACCUCUGCUUCCUUAUGAAAACUCAAAAUUGAAGUUCACAAACUAUAAGUCAACGAUGAUGAUUCAGAGUUUAGAAUGGCAAACCUUCGGAUUCUUUUUAAAUUCAUAUAAAAUAAAAUGCAACUAAGGGAAAAUUUAACAGACACCCAGCAAGCCACAGUUUGCUGAAAACACUUGAUAGAAAGGCCACUGUCCACAGGUGUCCGUGGCUGUCAACAGACAUCAGACACUGGGCUCUGCCUUGCCUCCUGCCUGAUCCCAGUCCAUUUCCCAGCUUUCCCUAUCCCGAGUCUGGUGCUGUUUAGAGCAGAACAUGGCAGGCUUCCUGCCUGGGUCUGAGGAAUCCUCCUUGCUUUCUUGGUCCUGGGGGGAUAGGAUGGAGACUCCAGAGGGAUCGAGUGUCCCUCCUGCCAUCCCACCUUAUCUUUUGGAAAACAUUAGAAAACAGAAUUCUAAAUUGCCUUUUUUUUUUCUCCUACAUGUUGCUUAAUUGAUUAAAUACCAGUUGUAAUUUCACAUUGUGGAUGGUUUCUCAGUUGCAUCUAAGCUUGCUAAUUGGCUUGAUUUUUCUACAUUCCCAUGUACAGCAUCUGUUAAUUAUCUGCAACACCUCUACAGAUUUAUUAGAGUGUGCUAGUGAUUUACUGAUGAACCUCGGGCACCCUGUGGAAACACCUCAGAUUCCCCUCCCUCCAGUACUUUCCCUUUCUGGACCUUCCACACAAAACAACUGUCAUAUGACAGUUUGUCCUUAAUUGCGGAACCAAGUAACCACCCUUUCAGCCUUGUUUAUUCUUUCCACCUGGUUUUUCCUUGUUUGGAUGUUUUCCAGCCACCUCUUUGGGAAUUGGGCUCUUUAUCAAGAGAAAAAUUAGCUGUACAACCCCCAGAAAAUUCCCCGCUAAUCACACAUGAUAUCCACCGCCAAAGCCUGAGACUUAAGCAGCCCCACACCCUUUCUUCUAGGUGGUGUGGUCACAAAGGGAGGUGUUGUUUCUUGACCCGGGGCUGUCCUAUGGCUGUCUGCCCUCUUGUUUCCCUGUACUCCACAAGGCCAAUUUUCCUGGGUGCAGAGAUGUCCAUUGGGAUCUUAGUAACAAUGAGGAUGUCCUUCGCAUCCUGCCAUGGUUUAAGUCUGUGAGCUAAGGAAAGAUGUCCCAAGCCAGGGCCACAAGUGCACAUCUGCUGAAUGGGCAGUAACCAUGCCCUAAUGAACUGGUAGAAUCCUGUGACUUUUAUCAUAAGCAUUGGGUUUUUAAUUAGAGGCCUUAAAAGAAAAGACGAGAAAAGAAAAAAGAAAAAAAGAGAAAAGAAAAGAAAAGAAAAGG
This 2949-nucleotide long non-coding RNA is filed under the name Mus musculus (house mouse). Its description in RNAcentral is "long non-coding RNA chr14:77611081-77614030". The record is from RNAcentral. Lineage: Eukaryota; Metazoa; Chordata; Mammalia; Rodentia; Muridae.